GCGGAUAUAACUGAGGAAGGAAGCAAUGUAACUCUAGUGAUAUCGGGCCCAUCACAAGUCGUUUGUCAGCCACCUCCCCAGCUUUGGUUGGCAGCUUGCUGCUGUGAUUAUGGUAGCGUUAGAAGCUAGUGAAGACUCUCACAGAUGAUGUGUGUGAUGCUAGCUGUGAAUGCAAAGAACGGUCGAGAGGUGAUGUUUGGAAUACCGCUCUCCAGCGACACCUGAUUAUCCUCUCUCGCUUUUCAUCUGGCGAUGGUUGGUGCAUCGUUAUGAGGAGGGAGCGAGUUUGGAUAGAAUGAACUUCUCAUGUGUUUAUAGCAGUCUUUUAUAGUGUUGAGGUGGGAGCAAGGGAGAGGGAGGUGGACACUUUGACUAUAAACUGCGUAUCGCAUCAUCUUUUCUCAGCUUUUGAACUCUUAUCAUGGAAAGCAUUAAGAUUUGACCAAAUGGAGAGCGUAUGUUAGUCAACAAACUUGGAAUCAUGAAAUAUAAGAAUAAAUUGCGAAACUAAGAUUGAGAAACUUAAUGGACUUUUUGCAGCGUACAAACUCACUACAUAAUAGGAAACAAAUGAUUGUCUGUAAUAUCUUUGAUGUUUGAAAUUCCGAACACGAUAAUUUUGUGUGGAUUGUGAUCAAUCAAUCAAGAAGGAAGCAUAAUUUUUUUCCUAUGAACUUUAAUAUACAGUAUAUGUACAUACAUGUACACUGUACUUUAUACUAGUGAACAUACUGUGUAAAAAAACAAUCACUGCUUUACUCUCCUCCACAUCAUUCAAGAACUCAGUGAAACCUAACGGGUAGAGCUUUCACAAACAGUACUGUAAAUCGAUCUCUUCUCAGCUGCUUUUGCUGAUGGCGGAGAAGUGUGAGCAUCUCGACGUUGGAUCCAUCCACCAGAUGUUGAAGUACUUUGCGGUCUAUUCAUACCUGGAAUGGUGAUAGUCUUCUUCGGUGUCUCGUUGACGUCGACGCAAGCCGAGGCUCCUUCAGAUGUGAAUCUUUCUGCCGGUGGUGUUGGGAGCAUCCGAGGAGCUGUGCGGUCCGUCUGUGUCCUGGACGUCAUCGUCGAGAUGGACGAUAUAGAGAAAUGAGGUAAUGAUAAUUUGAUGCUUUACUUUCAUUUAUGCACUGGGCAAUAUUUAUAUGUGGGCUGACAUGUAAAAUGUAUAGGCCUACACUGAGCCAAGUGUUUCAUCUCCUUCUCGUCUGUUCGUGAAUGUGUACCCUUUGGAAAAUCAAAAGGCUUUGGAAGCUCCAGCCGUGGAUUUUACACACGCCCGUUUUUCUCUCCUGAUGUGAAGCAAGCGAGGCCGGUAUGUCGGCUGCAGCUUCCGGAAAAAUAUGGAACCGCCUCAAAGAUCGCGUCAACCGCAAUGGGAUCGUGCGACGCAUCAGCAUCAGACGGAGCAGCCGCGUGAAGAAGUAUUCCCUGGACGACGAGGAGCGAGGUCCCGAAGAUGGACCGAUUAGCGAGUGAGUUUUGAUCUUUGUUUUCCUGCCAGAAUGCUGCAUCCUACACCGCAUGAAUUCAUCUCACCAAUCAACUAAUCAUUGUUUUUACCCUCACCACUAACCAUAUAUUUCAUCACAUUAA
This 1596-nucleotide long non-coding RNA is filed under the name Lytechinus variegatus (green sea urchin). RNAcentral describes it as "uncharacterized LOC121414228, transcript variant X3". The record is from RNAcentral. Lineage: Eukaryota; Metazoa; Echinodermata; Echinoidea; Temnopleuroida; Toxopneustidae.